This 348-nucleotide unclassified non-coding RNA is filed under the name soil metagenome. RNAcentral describes it as "partial contains 5.8S ribosomal RNA, internal transcribed spacer 2, and large subunit ribosomal RNA". The stretch from base 1 to 120 matches the Rfam family "5.8S ribosomal RNA", at positions 35 to 154 of the family's 154-position model. The record is from RNAcentral.
GAUGAAGAACGCAGCGAAAUGCGAUAAGUAAUGUGAAUUGCAGAAUUCAGUGAAUCAUCGAAUCUUUGAACGCACAUUGCGCCCAUUAGUAUUCUAGUGGGCAUGCCUGUUCGAGCGUCAUUUCAACCCUUAAGCCUAGCUUAGUGUUGGGAGACUGCCUAAUACGCAGCUCCUCAAAACCAGUGGCGGAGUCUGUUCGUGCUCUGAGCGUAGUAAUUUUUUAUCUCGCUUCUGCAAGCCGGCCAGACGACAGCCAUAAACCGCACCCUCUCGGGGGGCACUUUUUUAAUGGUUGACCUCGGAUCAGGUAGGAAUACCCGCUGAACUUAAGCAUAUCAAAAGCGGAGG